Long non-coding RNA from Nematostella vectensis (starlet sea anemone), 1887 nucleotides. RefSeq lists it as uncharacterized. Lineage: Eukaryota; Metazoa; Cnidaria; Anthozoa; Actiniaria; Edwardsiidae. The record is from RefSeq and is a predicted model, not a curated record. The transcript is spliced from 2 exons.
UUUGCGGGUGUGUUUGGUAUAAGAAUUUGAAUUGGGCGUAUUGAUUAACUAUUCAUGUAUUUACAUGCCUACUAAGAUACUUGUAAGAGAUCUUUAUAGUGAGCGGAGCAAAGAGCCGUAAUUAUCACCUUUCUUUGUCACAGCAAAGCGAUAACAUGGCUAUAUUUUCCGUUAGAUAUCAAUUCUGCAGAGUCUAAAUUCGAAUUCAAUAUUACAAAUGACCUCUGAAUAAUUAAAGUUAAAAAUGCACUUAAGACUAUACUCUGAAGGUCUGAGCAGACGCUUAAUGCAGUCAAGGGCAAUAAGUCUUCGCCUUAACGUUAUAACUGGUUCAGAUUAGAAGAUUUAAGCCCAUUGUUUGAAUUCGAGACGACAUAAAAUCAACAAAGUUGUCUGUUCACGAUUACAAUUCGACAAGACUCCAUGGCGACUGAAGCCUAGAAGAAAACAGGGUUUUUACAAACGCUGUACGGAAGAAUAAUAUCAAAACACUACUUUACAGAGGAAGAAAUAAAUUCAUCGAAUGACAGGCCAUUGCACCUGUCACUGUGGAAAACAACAGAAAGACUUAAGAAUCUUUUCAAAUUAAGAGACAUCUAUACCAUCUAUCAGUCAAGAGACUGAUAAAACAACGUCAAUGAAGAAACCUGCACAGCCGUAACCAAGAACAAGAAAAGCAAGCCCUGCCAUUAUUUUGAACGGAGAGUUGACUUGGGGAACGAAAACAGUUUGCGGAGUAAAAAGCGGAUUAUUGACAAAAGAAACGGGUUAUUUACAUAAGAUUUGCAGUGGAACUCCUACAGCGUUCACAAAGAAUAAUAUUAGAAAAUCGGUAAUAUUCAAGAAAAAGGACUUGCAGGUUAUAAAACCAGAAACAUUUAAGGAAAUACCCGUUUAUUUUAAGCGGACAUUUGCAUUCUUCAGCUUUUAACAAUUAUUGAAGACUUGCCAAUAUACAGGGCCUCGCAGUUAUUUUGUAUUGACAUUGAAAACGAAAAAAAUAUAUAUUUGUGAUACAUACGGUUCGUCCCUGUUUUGCUUCUACCACUUACGGGAUAACAGAGACAAAAAAUGGGGAACUAUGGUAAAUUCUGGUCCAGUUCACAACUCGCGAGAUGUUGUUAAAUUAUGCUUGAAGACAUUGGGAACUUAUAAUCGCCGCUGUGAACGACUUGAGUCGCUAGAAGUUUUAAUUUACACAAGAGUGGAUGGUCUUAAAAAGGUUUGAGCAAAAGAAAAGAAAUUAAGCUGAAAACCCUAAAAAUGACGUAUCGCCAAAUCCCACUGUACUUCCUUUUCGGUGCGUUAUCGUUCGUAGCUCUAUUUGUAAUUUGUUGCAUGAUUAAUGUUGCUUGUCCAUACGAGAAAGUGAGACAGAAACUCGCCUUGUGCUUCGGGUACAAGAUCCAUGACAACACGGCUCUGAGAGAGCGGAGAAGAUUGAUGAAAAGAGAGGAAAGUGACGAUAGCGAGGAGGCUUUUUAUUCGCGAAGAGUGCACCCUAUAUGAAAACAGUGGAGGAAAGAUGUGCGCAUAAGUUUAAACAGACUUUAAACAAGAUUCAGAAAUAAGAAGGCAUAUGACGAUGUGGAAGACCACAGUCAAAUGAAAGUCAAAAGGAAAGAAGUGCGCAGUUGAAUUUCCAUGGUACAUACAUGUAGCCAAAUUUGAAUACACAAGCUCUCUAAAAGUUUCUUUAUGAUUAACCAUAUAAAAGCAAAUACUAUAGCAAACAUGAUAAAAAAGAUUCAAUUAUAUUAUAUAGUCAUUAGAGUACUACAUCUUAAUGGAUAUUAUAUCUAAAUAUCAUAUAUGGGUGAAUAACAUAUCAUAUUAAUUUGGACAUUUUAUGGAAAAGGCCGGUAAAAUACACUUAUUCAGUACACA